This 254-nucleotide ribosomal RNA is filed under the name uncultured bacterium. RNAcentral's name for it is "partial 16S ribosomal RNA". It matches the Rfam family "Bacterial small subunit ribosomal RNA", at positions 524 to 776 of the family's 1533-position model. The record is from RNAcentral.
UACGUAGGGGGCAAGCGUUGUCCGGAUUUAUUGGGCGUAAAGAGCUCGUAGGCGGCUCGGUAAGUCGGAUGUGAAACCUCCAGGCUCAACCUGGAGACGCCAUCUGAUACUGCCGUGGCUUGAGUCCGGUAGAGGAGCAGGGAAUUCCUGGUGUAGCGGUGAAAUGCGCAGAUAUCAGGAGGAACACCAGCGGCGAAGGCGCUGCUCUGGGCCGGUACUGACGCUGAGGAGCGAAAACAUGGGGAGCGAACAGG